Molecule: unclassified non-coding RNA, 245 nt
Filed under: Hevea brasiliensis (rubber tree)
Lineage: Eukaryota; Viridiplantae; Streptophyta; Magnoliopsida; Malpighiales; Euphorbiaceae
Source: RNAcentral
GACACAUGGAAAAGGUACAAAGAUCUUCUAAGAGAGUACCCACACUAUAGCAUUUAGGAUUGGCCCCUCGUACAAAACUUUUACAAUGGACUUCUACCAACAAGAAGCACUGUUGAUUCAGCAGCCUGUGGAGAUUCGAUGGAGAAAACCACUAUCGACGCUUUUUAUCUCUUAGAGAGAGUUGUCUAUCACAACUUUGAAUGAUCCAAUGAAAGGGGUGGCACAAGGACAGUUGGAGUAUUAGA